GAUGAACGCUAGCUACAGGCUUAACACAUGCAAGUCGAGGGGCAGCAUGACGAUAGCUUGCUAUUGUUGAUGGCGACCGGCGCACGGGUGAGUAACGCGUAUCCAACCUUCCCGUUGCUAGGGGAUAACCUUGCGAAAGUAAGACUAAUACCCUAUGAAGUUCUUCGCAGGCAUCUAAAGAGAACGAAAGAUUUAUCGGCAACGGAUGGGGAUGCGUCUGAUUAGCUUGUUGGCGGGGGUAACGGCCCACCAAGGCAACGAUCAGUAGGGGUUCUGAGAGGAAGGUCCCCCACAUUGGAACUGAGACACGGUCCAAACUCCUACGGGAGGCAGCAGUGAGGAAUAUUGGUCAAUGGACGAGAGUCUGAACCAGCCAAGUAGCGUGCAGGAUGACGGCCCUAUGGGUUGUAAACUGCUUUUAUAAGGGAAUAAAGUGAGCCUCGUGAGGCUUUUUGCAUGUACCUUAUGAAUAGGACCGGCUAAUUCCGUGCCAGCAGCCG
This 500-nucleotide ribosomal RNA is filed under the name uncultured bacterium. Its description in RNAcentral is "bacterial SSU rRNA". It matches the Rfam family "Bacterial small subunit ribosomal RNA", at positions 28 to 517 of the family's 1533-position model. The record is from RNAcentral.